AGUGAACGCUGGCGGUAGGCCUAACACAUGCAAGUCGAACGGCAGCACAGGAGAGCUUGCUCUCUGGGUGGCGAGUGGCGGACGGGUGAGGAAUACAUCGGAAUCUACUUUUUCGUGGGGGAUAACGUAGGGAAACUUACGCUAAUACCGCAUACGACCUACGGGUGAAAGCAGGGGACCUUCGGACCUUGCGCGAUUGAAUGAGCCGAUGUCGGAUUAGCUAGUUGGCGGGGUAAAGGCCCACCAAGGCGACGAUCCGUAGCUGGUCUGAGAGGAUGAUCAGCCACACUGGAACUGAGACACGGUCUAGACUCCUACGGGAGGCAGCAGUGGGAAUAUUGGACAAUGGGCGCAAGCCUGAUCCAGCCAUACCGCGUGGGUGAAGAAGGCCUUCGGGUUGUAAAGCCCUUUUGUUGGGAAAGAAAUCCAGCUGGUUAAUACCCGGUUGGGAUGACGGUACCCAAAGAAUAAGCACCGGCUAACUUCGUGCCAGCCGCCGCAGUAA
This 505-nucleotide ribosomal RNA is filed under the name uncultured bacterium. RNAcentral describes it as "partial 16S ribosomal RNA". It matches the Rfam family "Bacterial small subunit ribosomal RNA", at positions 29 to 523 of the family's 1533-position model. The record is from RNAcentral.